Molecule: ribosomal RNA, 330 nt
Filed under: uncultured eukaryote
Lineage: Eukaryota
Description: partial 18S ribosomal RNA
Rfam family: Eukaryotic small subunit ribosomal RNA
Source: RNAcentral
CCCUUAGAUGUUCCGGGCCGCACGCGCGCUACACUGAUGCAUUCAACGAGUCUAAAACCUGGUCUGAUAGGGCUGGGUAAUCUUUUGAAUGUGCAUCGUGAUUGGGAUAGAUGAUUGCAAUUCUUCAUCUUCAACGAGGAAUGCCUAGUAAACGCAAGUCAUCAGCUUGCAUUGAUUACGUCCCUGCCCUUUGUACACACCGCCCGUCGCUCCUACCGAUUGAAUGUUCCGAUGAAUACCAUGGACUGAGAGUAUGAAUGGGUUCGCCUAUUUCUGCUUCUCGGGAAGUGGAGUAAAUCUUAACAUUUAGAGGAAGGAGAAGUCGUAACA